RNAcentral lists this transfer RNA (33 nucleotides) under Elymus sibiricus. Its description in RNAcentral is "partial tRNA-Phe". Lineage: Eukaryota; Viridiplantae; Streptophyta; Magnoliopsida; Poales; Poaceae. The record is from RNAcentral.
UCAGAUAGCUCAGUUGGUAGAGCAGAGACUGAA